RNAcentral lists this transfer RNA (91 nucleotides) under Streptomyces galilaeus. RNAcentral describes it as "tRNA-Pro". Lineage: Bacteria; Bacillati; Actinomycetota; Actinomycetes; Kitasatosporales; Streptomycetaceae. The record is from RNAcentral.
UGCCGGUCUUGGCGCGGACGACACCGGCGGCGUCGGCCGCCGCGUCCGUGUAGCGGGUGGUGAGGGUGCCGGUGAAACCGGCGACGGGCAG